This 1294-nucleotide long non-coding RNA is filed under the name Zalophus californianus (California sea lion). Its description in RNAcentral is "lncRNA (ENSZCAG00015014531.1)". Lineage: Eukaryota; Metazoa; Chordata; Mammalia; Carnivora; Otariidae. The record is from RNAcentral.
CAUCCCCCCCUUCGGAAUCCUUCCUCAUCACUGCCCUCCAAGCCCCCUCACAAUUUCAAGUGGCACAGGCAGGACUACAAGGGCCACACUCCAACAGGCUGCACUGGAACACCGCGGGACUUAGAAACGACCCCUCACACACACACCCACACCCACCAAGGCUCCAUAAAGAAGCCUGGCGGAAAUGGAGCCCUGAAUCUCUGUCCUUUGGUGUCUCUUCCGUUUCCAGUCCUCCGCGUGGCACUAACCAUCCCUAAAACUUCCUUUUUAAGGCUUCUCCUCCGUCAGCCCCUAAGCCAGACCUCUUUUUAUUUGACUCCGCUCGGGCAGCGGUGGGUGGGAGGCGGCUCGGGAAAAGGGAAGCCCGUCCCUUACAGUGGCGCCCCUAGGGAGACGUUCUGGGGGUCUCCGGGGGCACAAGGGCCGUGAGUCAUUUUGUUUGUUUAGCGAGGAAGAAGAUGGAGACGCGACGGUCCCCAACCACCCCACUGCAAAGCUCCUCUUCUGGUUCCCAGGAUGCACCCUGUUUGCCCCCAGUUUGUCGCACCAUCACCUGGAAUAACAGCUCUGUGGGACCACGUGGAACUGUGGGCCAUGCCAUUGUAACAACAGCACAGAGACUCCAUGGGCCCAUGGAAAGGGCGCCAUAUUUGAAGUCGGCAGAUGUGGUCCUGGCUCUAUUGAGAAGAUACAAAUGACAUGUGACCUGCUGAGUGAUACAAAAAUCUACAUAAUGACAGAGUUCUGCUUCCUAAGGCAAAAAACAGGUGAUGGUCUGUCAAAAGAUUUUUUUUUUUUUUUAAAUCAGUUCUGGACAAAAGCAAGGCCCAGAACCCCCAACCCUUGUCAAAGACACACCCACCCAGAUGUUAAGUAUUUUCAGAUUUAAGUGGUGAACCGCCCUGUAUACCGAUCUAUACUUUGAUCUGUUUCUCUGACUUCCUUGGUAGUUGCCCUCAGUUCUGGUCUGGGCGACACCUGGUCUCCCUGGAUGAUGCACUGUAGGUCUUCCUGUUUCCACUCCCAGGCCUGCUUUCUGUAACAAAUCAUUUUCCUCUCAGCAAGCAGAGGGAAGAGUCUCAUCUGGCCUGAUCCAGCUUUGGGGAGGAGCUGGUGAAGAGGCCAUCUAAGAGAUGCGUUCCAGGGCAUCUCAAUGAGCUAGAUGAAGCCGUGGAGCAAAAUAUUUGAAAUCUAAACUGUCCUGGACAAAUGUAGGACAAAUGAGCAUGGUAACCUGUUUUCAAGCAGCCUGCAGACUGUUGUUGAGAUAAGCUAUCAACCUCUAAAAAUAUCC